This 253-nucleotide ribosomal RNA is filed under the name uncultured bacterium. Its description in RNAcentral is "partial 16S ribosomal RNA". It matches the Rfam family "Bacterial small subunit ribosomal RNA", at positions 524 to 776 of the family's 1533-position model. The record is from RNAcentral.
UACAGAGGGUGCGAGCGUUAAUCGGAAUUACUGGGCGUAAAGCGCGCGUAGGCGGCUCUGCAAGUCGGGUGUGAAAUCCCCAGGCUUAACCUGGGAACUGCAUUCGAGACUGCAUUGCUAGAGUAUGGGAGAGGGAAGUGGAAUUUCCGGUGUAGCGGUGAAAUGCGUAGAUAUCGGAAGGAACACCAGUGGCGAAAGCGGCUUCCUGGUCCAGCACCGACGUGCAGGCACGAAAGCGUGGGGAGCAAACAGG